CCUACGGGUGGCAGCAGUGAGGAAUAUUGGUCAAUGGACGAGAGUCUGAACCAGCCAAGUAGCGUGAAGGAUGACUGCCCUAUGGGUUGUAAACUUCUUUUAUAUGGGAGUAAAAAGUUCUACGUGUGGGAUUUUGUAUGUAGCAUACGAAUAAGGAUCGGCUAACUCCGUGCCAGCAGCCGCGGUAAUACGGAGGAUCCGAGCGUUAUCCGGAUUUAUUGGGUUUAAAGGGAGCGUAGGUGGAUUGUUAAGUCAGUUGUGAAAGUUUGCGGCUCAACCGUAAAACUGCAUUUGAUACUGGCAGUCUUGAGUACAGUAGAGGUAGGCGGAAUUCGUGGUGUAGCGGUGAAAUGCUUAGAUAUCACGAAGAACACCGAUUGCGAAGGCAGCUCACUGGACUGCAACUGACGCUGAGGCUCGAAAGUGUGGGUAGCAAACAGGAUUAGAUACCCCAGUAGUC
RNAcentral lists this ribosomal RNA (460 nucleotides) under uncultured bacterium. RNAcentral's name for it is "partial 16S ribosomal RNA". It matches the Rfam family "Bacterial small subunit ribosomal RNA", at positions 338 to 795 of the family's 1533-position model. The record is from RNAcentral.